This 1035-nucleotide ribosomal RNA is filed under the name Lepocinclis sphagnophila. RNAcentral describes it as "partial large subunit ribosomal RNA". It matches the Rfam family "Eukaryotic large subunit ribosomal RNA", at positions 2187 to 2917 of the family's 3401-position model. Lineage: Eukaryota; Euglenozoa; Euglenophyceae; Euglenales; Phacaceae. The record is from RNAcentral.
UGAGGUGACUUCUGCCCAGUGCUCUGAUUGUCAAGGCGAAGAGAUUCCGCCAAGCGCGGGUAAACGGCGGGAGUAACUAUGACUCUCUUAAGGUAGCCAAAUGCCUCGUCAACCAAUUAUUGACGCGCAUGAAUGGAUCAACGAGAUUCCUGCUGUCCCUAGGUGCUGUCCGGUGAACCAACAGCCAAGGGAACGGGCUUGGGCGUGUCAGCGGGGAAAGAAGACCCUGUUGAGUUUGACUCUAGUUUGAUGCUGUGCAACGACAUGUGGGGUGUAGCACAGGUGGGAGGCCCGUGCCAUCGGCAAGAUUGGAAAAGGAGAAACAGGUCUGUGAUGUGAACGCGCUCCGGCGCACAGCUCCGAAUCGGUCCUGUCUGUGGGACCAACCUGGUUGUAACUGGAUUGAUAGCUUUGGCUUGGAUUGGAUUGUUUGUCUGGCUUCAGAACGAGGGAAAGAAGACGAAAGAAGACUGGCUCCGUCUUACAAUUGGUGCAAACCAGCAGUGAAAUACCACUACCUUCACCGUCGUUUUACUCAUCGAGUGGCUUGGGACCAGCGGCUCACUUGGACAUCGGCCCCCGCACGUCCUGUGGGGGUCGCAGCUAUCAUCUGCUUCGUGCGUCCAGCGUGGCCGGCUCCCGCCGGCCGCGCGACCCUGUGCGGGGUUCGCAACACCCCGCACCCAUCCUUCGGUGCCUCGGGACAAUGAUCAGUUGGGGAGUUUGGCUGGGGCGGCACGCCUGUUACAGGACAACGCAGGCGUCCUGAAGCAUUGCUCAGAUGGAACAGAAAUCUUGCACGGAGGAGCAGGCCAAAGGUGCUGCUGAUGCGGCGACUCCCAGUGCGAGUCCAAAACGUGCAAGUGUGGCCUUGCGAUCCUUUGGUCAAGUGCGCGGGUUCUGGAUAUUGAAGCCAGAGGUGUCAGAAAAAUUACCACAGGGAUAACUGGCUUGUGGCUGCCAAGCGUUCAAAGCGACGUCGCUUUUUGAUCCUUCGAUGUCGGCUCUUCCUAGCUUCCCACCCGCAGCCGAGUG